Long non-coding RNA from Gossypium arboreum, 937 nucleotides. RefSeq lists it as uncharacterized. NCBI's taxonomy places the organism in Eukaryota, Viridiplantae, Streptophyta, Magnoliopsida, Malvales, Malvaceae. The transcript has 3 exons. The record is from RefSeq and is a predicted model, not a curated record.
ACCUAUUGAUAUUUCCCAGUCAAAUGGAACAACCUGGCCACCAUUAAUCAUAUCGUCUUUUCAUGUCAAUAGUCGCGUCUGUUCAUAGAUAGCUCUUCCCCAAAAAAUUUUUCGUGUACCUGCUAUCUUUGACUACUCCAUUUCUCCACCACAAAACGAUUUCAAUCUGUAUUUCUUCUCCAUCUUCCUUCCAAAACCAGAUCUCUGUGGUUCAGCGCUUCCCCCACCAAGGAUGAGAUACUAUAAUGGAGAGUCGUCUUUGAGGCUUUUAACUCACACAUUUGGUCCCGAACCACUAAACACGAAGUAGAUCUAGAAUUUCUUUUGUCGAAGGCUGUAUCAAACUAUAUCGUUGUACCUGUUUUCGCCCCUAUUUGGUUAUGAACUCUUUUAGUAUUAAAGGUAAGCUUUUUUUCUCAUAUCCCUUCGAGUUCUGCUAUGUAUCCUCUGAUUUUUUGUGAUAGAUCCCUAAUUGAAAUGGUUUUUCUUUCAUGAACAUACUGAUUCGGUGAGCUCUAAAUGAACCAUAAGGAGCAGCAAAAAGUCCAGCACUGUUCUUUAGUACUCUUUGCAAAAACCCAUAUUGCAGGGCAUUGUCUAAAAACAUGGUGGCUAUCCUCUUCUCCAGAGCAACAACGAGGACAUCUGACGUUAGUGGUCACUCGCUUGUGUCUAAGGUUGACUAGUGUAGGUAUAUAGUUCCAGGAGAUCCGCCAUAUUGUUAAUGUAAUUUUUUAUGGUAGUUAUAAAUUCCAUAGUUUUCUAUAUUAGUCUUUGAUUUUGGUCUGUAUUAAGUAACUAUUAGGAUCCAAGCUAGCAUAUUGUAAUAGUUUAAAGGCGCUCCGUACUGAGUAUUCUCCGGAAAGUUCUUCUUUCCACACUUGAAAAUCUUCAUGGUUAGCUUCUACAAGAAAGAUCUGCAAGAUCCUUUGGGCAA